RNAcentral lists this ribosomal RNA (256 nucleotides) under uncultured bacterium. Its description in RNAcentral is "partial 16S ribosomal RNA". It matches the Rfam family "Bacterial small subunit ribosomal RNA", at positions 524 to 776 of the family's 1533-position model. The record is from RNAcentral.
UACGAAGGGGGCUAGCGUUGUUCGGAAUUACUGGGCGUAAAGCGCACGUAGGCAGAUAUUUAAGUCAGGGGUGAAAUCCCGGGGCUCAACCCCGGAACUGCCUUUGAUACUGGAUAUCUUUGAGUUCGGAAGAGGUAAGUGGAAUUGCGAGUGUAGAGGUGAAAAUUCGUAGAUAUUCGCAGGAACACCAGUGGCGAAGGCGGCUCACUGGCCCGGUACUGACGCUGAUGUGCGAAAAGCGUGGGGAGCAAACAGG